UGUAUCGGAAGCCUGACGAGGAUGAGAACCUCCGGGGGCAAGAGGUUCGACUCGAGCGCAGCGAGAGAACGUUGCGUCAGCAACGGCCCGCAGGGCGAGCCACGCAGUGGCGAGUCAUCCUCUAUCGCCGACCA
Molecule: small RNA, 134 nt
Filed under: Salmonella enterica
Lineage: Bacteria; Pseudomonadati; Pseudomonadota; Gammaproteobacteria; Enterobacterales; Enterobacteriaceae
Description: RtT sRNA
Rfam family: RtT RNA
About the family: This family represents a bacterial cis-regulatory element known as RtT RNA.
Source: RNAcentral